CAGAACGAACGCUGGCGGCGCGUUUAAGCAUGCAAGUCGAACGGUACCAUCCUUCGGGAUGGCUAGAGUGGCGAACGGGUGAGUAACACGUAGGUGAUCUGCCCUUGAGUUGGGGAUAGCCCAUGGAAACAUGGGGUAAUACCGAAUACGCUCGCGACCCUGUGGGGAUGUGAGGAAAAGCGCUUCGGCGCUGCUCGAGGAUGAGCCUGCGGCUGAUUAGUUAGUUGGUGGGGUAACGGCCUACCAAGGCGACGAUCAGUAGCCGGCCUGAGAGGGUGAGCGGCCACACUGGGACUGAGAUACGGCCCAGACUCCUACGGGAGGCAGCAGCUAUGAAUCUUCUACAAUGGACGAAAGUCUGAUAGAGCGACGCCGCGUGGGUGAUGAAGGCCGGAAGGUUGUAAAGCCCUUUUCUAUUCGAGGAAUACGGUGUGGAGGCAAUGCCACACUGAUGACGGUAGGGUAGGAAUAAGCCCCGGGCAAUUACGUGCAAGCAGCCGCGGUAACACGUAUGGGGCGAGCGUUGUUCGGAAUCAUUGGGCGUAAAGGGCG
This 552-nucleotide ribosomal RNA is filed under the name uncultured organism. Its description in RNAcentral is "bacterial SSU rRNA". It matches the Rfam family "Bacterial small subunit ribosomal RNA", at positions 25 to 569 of the family's 1533-position model. The record is from RNAcentral.